UACAGAGGGUGCGAGCGUUAAUCGGAAUUACUGGGCGUAAAGGGUGCGUAGGUGGUUGCUUAAGUUAGGUGUGAAAUCCCAGGGCUUAACCCUGGAAUUGCGCUUAAGACUGGGCGGCUAGAGUGUUAGAGAGGGGGGUAGAAUUUCCGGUGUAGCGGUGAAAUGCGUAGAUAUCGGAAGGAAUACCAGUGGCGAAGGCGGCCUCCUGGCUAUCGACUGACACUGAGGCACGAAAGCGUGGGGAGCAAACAGG
This 253-nucleotide ribosomal RNA is filed under the name uncultured bacterium. RNAcentral describes it as "partial 16S ribosomal RNA". It matches the Rfam family "Bacterial small subunit ribosomal RNA", at positions 524 to 776 of the family's 1533-position model. The record is from RNAcentral.